AAGCCUCGGGGUGGACGGUACCUGCAGAAAAAGGCGCCGGCUAACUACGUGCCAGCAGCGCGGUAAUACGUAGGGGCGCAAGCGUUAUCCGGGAAUUAUGGGCGUAAAGAGCUCGUAGGCGGUCUGUCGCGUCUGCUGUGAAAUUCCGAGGCUCAACCUCGGGCUUGCAGUGGGUACGGGCAGACUAGAGUGCGGUAGGGGAGAUUGGAAUUCCUGGUGUAGCGGUGGAAUGCGCAGAUAUCAGGAGGAACACCGAUGGCGAAGGCAGAUCUCUGGGCCGUUACUGACGCUGAGGAGCGAAAGGGUGGGGAGCAAACAGGCUUAGAUACCCUGGUAGUCCACCCCGUAAACGUUGGGAACUAGUUGUGGGGUCCUUUCCACGGAUUCCGUGACGUAGCUAACGCAUUAAGUUCCCCGCCUGGGGAGUACGGCCGCAAGGCUAAAACUCAAAGGAAUUGACGGGGACCCGCACAAGCGGCGGAGCAUGCGGAUUAAUUCGAUGCAACGCGAAGAACCUUACCAAGGCUUGACAUACACCAGAACGGGCCAGAAAUGGUCAACUCUUUGGACACUGGUGAACAGGUGGUGCAUGGUUGUCGUCAGCUCGUGUCGUGAGAUGUUGGGUUAAGUCCCGCAACGAGCGCAACCCUCGUUCUAUGUUGCCAGCACGUUAUGGUGGGAACUCAUGGGAUACUGCCGGGGUCAACUCGGAGGAAGGUGGGGAUGACGUCAAAUCAUCAUGCCCCUUAUGUCUUGGGCUUCACGCAUGCUACAAUGGCCGGUACAAUGGGCUGCGAUACCGCGAGGUGGAGCGAAUCCCAAAAAGCCGGUCCCAGUUCGGAUUGAGGUCUGCAACUCGACCUCAUGAAGUCGGAGUCGCUAGUAAUCGCAGAUCAGCAACGCUGCGGUGAAUACGUUCCCGGGUCUUGUACACACCGCCCGUCAAGUCAUGAAAGUCGGUAACACACUGAAGACCGGUGGCCUA
Molecule: ribosomal RNA, 985 nt
Filed under: Actinomycetes bacterium
Lineage: Bacteria; Bacillati; Actinomycetota; Actinomycetes
Description: bacterial SSU rRNA
Rfam family: Bacterial small subunit ribosomal RNA
Source: RNAcentral